AGUGAACGCUGGCGGUAGGCCUAACACAUGCAAGUCGAACGGCAGCACAGUAAGAGCUUGCUCUUACGGGUGGCGAGUGGCGGACGGGUGAGGAAUACAUCGGAAUCUACUUUUUCGGGGGGGAUAACGUAGGGAAACUUACGCUAAUACCGCAUACGACCUACGGGUGAAAGCAGGGGAUCUUCGGACCUUGCGCGAUUGAAUGAGCCGAUGUCGGAUUAGCUAGUUGGCGGGGUAAAGGCCCACCAAGGCGACGAUCCGUAGCUGGUCUGAGAGGAUGAUCAGCCACACUGGAACUGAGACACGGUCCAGACUCCUACGGGAGGCAGCAGUGGGGAAUAUUGGACAGUGGGCGCAAGCCUGAUCCAGCCAUACCGCGUGGGUGAAGAAGGCCUUCGGGUUGUAAAGCCCUUUUGUUGGGAGAGAAAAGCAGCAGGUUAAUACCCCGCUGUUCUGACGGUACCCAAAGAAUAAGCACCGGCUAACUUCGU
RNAcentral lists this ribosomal RNA (491 nucleotides) under uncultured bacterium. RNAcentral describes it as "partial 16S ribosomal RNA". It matches the Rfam family "Bacterial small subunit ribosomal RNA", at positions 29 to 506 of the family's 1533-position model. The record is from RNAcentral.